UGAUGAUGAACUUAGAUAUUGUUUUUAAUUUAUGAACCAUUAAAGGAAGAACCAGGGGUUAUCUUGAUCCAUAUGAAAAUGUGAUUUGUACCGAAUGUGUACACACCAGGUUUUGUUUUCUUUAGCCAAUCUGAUUUGAAAACUUUGGAGCUAUGAUGCGUAAGCUAAGAUGAAAGGCUAUGAUGGUUGCUUGAGCCUCUGUAGUUAGCACAGAAACUCUGUAUAUGAGGUGCUUGAUGGAAUGCUUUAAAGUUGUGUUGAUUGUUGUAUUUUGAGGGUAAAUCGAAGAUCCAGGUAGCAUCUUGGCGGGGCAAGCUCCAAAUGGCAUAGUUUUCACUAUGCAACUAUGUAUUUGCAGCCAUGUUGUUACCAGGGUCUUAUAUGUGUUCAUCCCUCGAUUACAUAUCUGAGCCUUUUAAGGUUGUUUUGAUAAACAAAGGGUUGUGUUUUAGGGUACAUCGAGCAUCCGAGUAGCAUGUUGGCGAGGCAACAUCCAGAUGGCAUAGUGCUCACUUUGCAACUGUGUGUUUGUAGCUAUGGCGUAACCCAUUCUUAUAUGCGUUCAUCCCUCGAAUACAUAUUUGAGCUUUCAAAGUUUCAACGCACAAACACAUUCACAUCUUAGUAACCUUUUUUUGGCAGUGGGUAUGUGAUAUCAGUAUUGUAUCUACUUCUGGGCUAUGAUGAUGUGUUUUGUUUGAAGAAACUAAGAUUUUAGUGUUUAUUGGCGUGGCAUAUGAGGUCUUUAACCUCUUAGUGUGCAGCCAACACGUGUAAUUUCUGUUUCUUCAACAUGUCUAAGCCUGUAUAACUAUACUAUUGCUGGUGUGCAACGUGUGAAGGAACACUUGACUCUUUAAUUGAAGAGAGCUUAUGUUCUUCUGGUAAUGAUGGUGUUGAGUGGUAAUGGACUAAGCAAGGCGUCAGAGAGGGUUUCGGUCGAGUUGAACUUCCGGCGACCUAACCUAGGGUUCCGACAAAGUUCCGAUGAACCUCCACCAACCAGCGAACCUCCAUUUCUUAGCGAACGGAAUGCAUCUGUAUAGUCAUAUCUUAUAUUUUUUCUCGCUUUGCCUCAUUAAGCUAAGCUUCUUCAAGUUCCGUUUUGUAUUUCUCAGUUUCAUUUUUAAUUUCAAUGAUGUUAUUGGUGAGUUUGUGCCCAAUUUUGAAUAUGGGUUUAUUGCCUAUUAUAAUCUAGAUUACUAUCAUGAUGGAUUCAAUGUAAGCAUGCAACUAUCUUAUGUUCUUUACAUUACGAUGAAUCAAGUAACAAGCUUUGAAUUUA
Helianthus annuus (common sunflower) is the source of this 1285-nucleotide long non-coding RNA. RefSeq lists it as uncharacterized. The record is from RefSeq and is a predicted model, not a curated record. The transcript is spliced from 2 exons. Lineage: Eukaryota; Viridiplantae; Streptophyta; Magnoliopsida; Asterales; Asteraceae.